RNAcentral lists this long non-coding RNA (322 nucleotides) under Ricinus communis (castor bean). RNAcentral describes it as "long non-coding RNA (RCOM_LNC003751)". Lineage: Eukaryota; Viridiplantae; Streptophyta; Magnoliopsida; Malpighiales; Euphorbiaceae. The record is from RNAcentral.
GCAGUGCAACAUCUGCCUAAUAACACGCCCAAGCUCGGAGAUCAUCUCCAGCCUUAACAUAAGCAUACGUCCGUGCAAGAACUGCAUCGUCGGCAAGAUACGAGCUUGUGUGCCCAUGCGAGGCAGAUCCAAGAAUGUGUGCCUCGGCCGAAGGGGACGGCGCCUCAUGCGUCGGCAUGCUGCAGGGUUGACUAUUGCUUGGUUUCGGGCAUCUUAUGACAAUGCAUCGCCCACACCGUGCGUUGACAACCUAUUAGCACGCUCUUGCAUGGGGUUGGGCCCCAACAGCUUUGGUUGGAUCUUCCAUCCAUGUCUCGGCCUC